Podarcis lilfordi (Lilford's wall lizard) is the source of this 165-nucleotide non-coding RNA. The record is from the annotation of a GenBank genome assembly. Lineage: Eukaryota; Metazoa; Chordata; Lepidosauria; Squamata; Lacertidae.
UGAGCUUCUCAUAUGCACAAUUUUGUGUGUAAUUUUGCAUGACAGACAUAUUUUUGCAACCAGUUUUCUCUAACACAUAAAAAUGCAGCAUUUUAGAGAAAAUUGGUUGCAAAACUAUGUCUGUUACACAAAAUUACACACAAAACUGUGCAUAUGAGAAGCUCA